AGAGUUUGAUCCUGGCUCAGGAUGAACGCUGGCGGCGUGCUUAACACAUGCAAGUCGAACGAUCCUUCGGGAUAGUGGCGGACGGGUGAGUAACGCGUGGGAAUCUGCCCUCAGGAGGGGGAUAACGGCUGGAAACGGCCGCUAAUACCCCAUAUGCCGAGAGGUGAAAUGAAUUUCGCCUGAGGAUGAGCCCGCGUCUGAUUAGCUAGUUGGUGGGGUAAAGGCCUACCAAGGCGACGAUCAGUAGCUGGUCUGAGAGGAUGAUCAGCCACACUGGGACUGAGACACGGCCCAGACUCCUACGGGAGGCAGCAGUGGGGAAUUUUCCGCAAUGGGCGAAAGCCUGACGGAGCAACGCCGCGUGAGGGAUGAAGGCCUCUGGGCUGUAAACCUCUUUUCUCAAGGAAGAAGAACUGACGGUACUUGAGGAAUAAGCCACGGCUAAUUCCGUGCCAGCAGCCGCGGUAAUACGGGAGUGGCAAGCGUUAUCCGGAGUUAUUGGGCGUAAAGCGUCCGCAGGCGGCCUUGUAAGUCUGUUGUUAAAGCGUGGAGCUCAACUCCAUUUAAGCAAUGGAAACUACAAGGCUGGAGUGUGGUAGGGGCAGAGGGAAUUCCCGGUGUAGCGGUGAAAUGCGUAGAUAUCGGGAAGAACACCAGUGGCGAAGGCGCUCUGCUGGGCCAUAACUGACGCUCAUGGACGAAAGCCAGGGGAGCGAAAGGGAUUAGAUACCCCUGUAGUCCUGGCCGUAAACGAUGAACACUAGGUGUCGGGGGAAUCGACCCCCUCGGUGUCGUAGCCAACGCGCUAAGUGUUCCGCCUGGGGAGUACGCACGCAAGUGUGAAACUCAAAGGAAUUGACGGGGGCCCGCACAAGCGGUGGAGUAUGUGGUUUAAUUCGAUGCAACGCGAAGAACCUUACCAGGGUUUGACAUCCUGCAAAUCCCUUGGAAACGAGGGAGUGCCUUCGGGAGCGCAGUGACAGGUGGUGCAUGGCUGUCGUCAGCUCGUGUCGUGAGAUGUUGGGUUAAGUCCCGCAACGAGCGCAACCCACGUCUUUAGUUGCCAGCAUUCAGUUGGGCACUCUAGAGAGACCGCCGGUGAUAAACCGGAGGAAGGUGUGGAUGACGUCAAGUCAUCAUGCCCCUUACAUCCUGGGCUACACACGUACUACAAUGCUACGGACAAAGGGCAGCAAGCUCGCGAGAGUUAGCAAAUCCCAUAAACCGUGGCUCAGUUCAGAUCGUAGGCUGCAACUCGCCUACGUGAAGGAGGAAUCGCUAGUAAUCGCAGGUCAGCAUACUGCGGUGAAUACGUUCCCGGGCCUUGUACACACCGCCCGUCACACCAUGGAAGUUGGCCAUGCCCGAAGUCGUUACUCCAACCCUUGUGGAGGAGGACGCCGAAGGUGGGGCUGAUGACUGGGGUGAAGUCGUAACAAGGUA
RNAcentral lists this ribosomal RNA (1443 nucleotides) under metagenome. RNAcentral's name for it is "bacterial SSU rRNA". It matches the Rfam family "Bacterial small subunit ribosomal RNA". The record is from RNAcentral.